Molecule: ribosomal RNA, 919 nt
Filed under: uncultured fungus
Lineage: Eukaryota; Fungi
Description: eukaryotic LSU rRNA
Rfam family: Eukaryotic large subunit ribosomal RNA (bases 278-919)
Source: RNAcentral
AUCGAUGAAGAACGCAGCGAAAUGCGAUAAGUAAUGUGAAUUGCAGAAUUCAGUGAAUCAUCGAAUCUUUGAACGCACAUUGCGCCCCCUGGUAUUCCGGGGGGCAUGCCUGUUCGAGCGUCAUUUCACCACUCAAGCCUCGCUUGGUAUUGGGCAACGCGGUCCGCCGCGUGCCUCAAAUCGACCGGCUGGGUCUUCUGUCCCCUAAGCGUUGUGGAAACUAUUCGCUAAAGGGUGUUCGGGAGGCUACGCCGUAAAACAACCCCAUUUCUAAGGUUGACCUCGGAUCAGGUAGGGAUACCCGCUGAACUUAAGCAUAUCAAUAAGCGGAGGAAAAGAAACCAACAGGGAUUGCUCUAGUAACGGCGAGUGAAGCAGCAAUAGCUCAAAUUUGAAAUCUGGCGUCUUCGGCGUCCGAGUUGUAAUUUGUAGAGGAUGCUUCUGAGUAACCACCGACCUAAGUUCCUUGGAACAGGACGUCAUAGAGGGUGAGAAUCCCGUAUGCGGUCGGAAAGGUGCUCUACACGUAGCUCCUUCGACGAGUCGAGUUGUUUGGGAAUGCAGCUCUAAAUGGGAGGUAAAUUUCUUCUAAAGCUAAAUAUUGGCCAGAGACCGAUAGCGCACAAGUAGAGUGAUCGAAAGAUGAAAAGCACUUUGGAAAGAGAGUUAAAAAGCACGUGAAAUUGUUAAAAGGGAAGGGAUUGCAACCAGACUUGCUCGCGGUGUUCCGCCGGUCUUCUGACCGGUCUACUCGCCGCGUUGCAGGCCAGCAUCGUCUGGUGCCGCUGGAUAAGACUUGAGGAAUGUAGCUCCCUCGGGAGUGUUAUAGCCUCUUGUGAUGCAGCGAGCGCCGGGCGAGGUCCGCGCUUCGGCUAGGAUGCUGGCGUAAUGGUCGUAAUCCGCCCGUCUUGAAACACGG